AGAGCGUAUGGCGGAUGCCUAGGCACAGAGAGGCGAAGAAGGACGCAGCAAACAGCGAAAUGCGACGGUUAGCAGUAAGCAUGCAACGAUCCGUCGAUGUCCGAAUGGGGGAACCCACCUGGAGUAGAGACCAGGUAUCCUGAAGUGAAUAAAUAGCUUCAGAGAGGCGAGACUCAGGGAACUGAAACAUCUAAGUACCUGAAGGAAGAGAAAAUAAACGAAUGAUUCCCUAAGUAGCGGCGAGCGAAAGGGGAAGAGCCCAAACCGAUCUUAGGAUCGGGGUUGUAGGACUGUCGGCAAAGAGCAAGAAAUCAUUAUAGGCGAACGGAAUGGGAAGUCCGGCGAAACAGGGUGACAGCCCCGUAGCCGAAAUAGUGAAGAAGCACGAGACAGCACCUGAGUACGGCGGGACACGAGGAAUCCUGUCGGAAUCCACCAGGACCAUCUGGUAAGGCUAAAUACUCCUCUGUGACCGAUAGUGAACCAGUACCGUGAGGGAAAGGUGAAAAGAACCCCGGGAGGGGAGUGAAAUAGAACCUGAAACCAUAUGCUUACAAGAAGUUAGAGCCCGUUAAAGGGUGAUAGCGUGCCUUUUGUAGAAUGAACCGGCGAGUUACGAUAUGGAGCGAGGUUAAGCAGGAUAUGCGGAGCCGAAGCGAAAGCGAGUCUUAACAGGGCGAAAGUUGCAUGUCGUAGACCCGAAACCGAGUGAUCUAGCCAUGACCAGGUUGAAGUUGGGGUAAAACCCGAUGGAGGACCGAACCGACCCCCGUUGAAACGUUGGCGGAUGAGUUGUGGCUAGGGGUGAAAUUCCAAUCGAACUCGGAGAUAGCUGGUUCUCCCCGAAAUAGCUUUAGGGCUAGCGUCGAGGUAAAGUCGUGUGAAGGUAGAGCACUGAAUAUGUGAUGGCCCCAUCUCGGGGUACUGAACAUAAUCAAACUCCGAAUGUCACAAAGAUAUACUCGGCAGUCAGACAGUGGGUGAUAAGGUCCAUUGUCAAAAGGGAAACAGCCCAGACCAUCAGCUAAGGUCCCAAAAUAUAUACUAAGUGGAAAAGGAUGUGGAGAUGUCCAGACAACUAGGAGGUUGGCUCAGAAGCAGCCAUCCUUUAAAGAGUGCGUAACAGCUCACUAGUCGAAUGACUCUGCGCCGAUAAUUUACCGGGGCUAAGUAUAUUACCGAAGCUAUGGAUUUACGCGUAAGCGUGAGUGGUAGGGGAGCGUUCUAUGUGCGGAGAAGCGGUACCGUAAGGAGCCGUGGAGCGCAUAGAAGAGAGAAUGCCGGUGUGAGUAGCGAAACGUGGGUGAGAAUCCCACGCACCGAAAACCCAAGGUUUCCAGAGGAAGGUUCGUCCGCUCUGGGUAAGUCGGGACCUAAGGCGAGGCCGAGAGGCGUAGUCGAUGGACAACAGGUAGAGAUUCCUGUACUUACGGUAUGAAUGAUGGAGUGACGGAGAAGGCUAGCGGAUCCUGCUGAUGGAAAUGCAGGUGCAAGCGAGGUAGCCGACAGCCAGGCAAAUCCGGCUGUCGAAAGGCAAAGGCGUGAGGCGUAUGGAAAGCUGCGGCAAGUACAGAAGUCCGUGAAGCCAGCUUCCAAGAAAAGCUUCUAGUGAUAAUCAUACAGUAACCCGUACCGAAAAUGGACACACAUGGGUGAGGAGAGAAUCCUAAGGUGAGCGAGAGAACUAUAGCUAAGGAACUCUGCAAAAUGACUCCGUAACUUAGGGAUAAGGAGUGCUCAUAGAGAUAUGAGCCGCAGUGAAACGGCCCAAGCGACUGUUUACCAAAAACACAGCUCUAUGCUAAGUCGAAAGACGACGUAUAUGGGGUGACGCCUGCCCGGUGCUGGAAGGUUAAGAGGAUGUGUCAGCGCAAGCGAAGCAUUGAAUUGAAGCCCCAGUAAACGGCGGCCGUAACUAUAACGGUCCUAAGGUAGCGAAAUUCCUUGUCAGGUAAGUUCU
This 1960-nucleotide ribosomal RNA is filed under the name human gut metagenome. RNAcentral's name for it is "bacterial LSU rRNA". It matches the Rfam family "Bacterial large subunit ribosomal RNA", at positions 14 to 1984 of the family's 2925-position model. The record is from RNAcentral.